Molecule: transfer RNA, 73 nt
Filed under: Myxococcales bacterium
Lineage: Bacteria; Pseudomonadati; Myxococcota; Myxococcia; Myxococcales
Description: tRNA-Leu
Rfam family: tRNA
About the family: Transfer RNA (tRNA) molecules are approximately 80 nucleotides in length. Their secondary structure includes four short double-helical elements and three loops (D, anti-codon, and T loops).
Source: RNAcentral
GCACCGGUGGUGAAACGGAAGACACACUGGGAUGAGAGUCCAGGUUUUGCGGGUUCGACUCCCGCUCGGUGCA